AUCGCUUCUCGGCCUUUUGGCUAAGAUCAAAGUGUAGUAUCUGUUCUUAUCAGCUUAAUCUCUGGUACGGCUUCCAUAGGACCUGCGAAGCUAAUAUGUAUUGUGGUACUGGGUUCGAUUCCCGGUCAUAGGCCUUGGAUUUUAUUUAAUGUUUAAAAAUGAGAAAUAGUAAAGUAUGUUUGCUAGACGCCUCCGU
This 196-nucleotide small nuclear RNA is filed under the name Rhodnius prolixus. RNAcentral's name for it is "U2 spliceosomal RNA". The stretch from base 1 to 124 matches the Rfam family "U2 spliceosomal RNA". From Rfam's summary of the family: U2 is a small nuclear RNA (snRNA) component of the spliceosome (involved in pre-mRNA splicing). Complementary binding between U2 snRNA (in an area lying towards the 5' end but 3' to hairpin I) and the branchpoint sequence (BPS) of the intron results the bulging out of an unpaired adenosine, on the BPS, which initiates a nucleophilic attack at the intronic 5' splice site, thus starting the first of two transesterification reactions that mediate splicing. The record is from RNAcentral. Lineage: Eukaryota; Metazoa; Arthropoda; Insecta; Hemiptera; Reduviidae.